This 253-nucleotide ribosomal RNA is filed under the name uncultured bacterium. RNAcentral's name for it is "partial 16S ribosomal RNA". It matches the Rfam family "Bacterial small subunit ribosomal RNA", at positions 524 to 776 of the family's 1533-position model. The record is from RNAcentral.
UACGUAGGGGGCAAGCGUUGUCCGGAUUUAUUGGGCGUAAAGCGCGUGUAGGCGGCUCGAUAAGUCUGCUGUGAAAGUCCAGGGCUCAACCCUGGAAUGCCGGUGGAAACUGUUGAGCUUGAGUCCGGAAGAGGCGAGUGGAAUUCCUGGUGUAGCGGUGAAAUGCGCAGAUAUCAGGAGGAACACCAAUGGCGAAGGCAGCUCGCUGGGACGGUACUGACGCUGAGACGCGAAAGCGUGGGGAGCAAACAGG